AUGUAUAGGAACAAUCCAGUGGAGAUGGUCAUCUUUUUCAUGGUGGUCAUAUGCAUGGCACAAAUCACAUUUGAAGCAGAGGCCAUGUCUCUUCCAGCUGAUGAGGUGCAAGCCCUUCAAGAAAUUGCUGAGCAACUGAACAAAAAGGAUUGGAAUUUGAGCGACCCAUGUAGAAAUGUUCCAACUUUCUCAAUCCCACAUGCGGAUCAGUACUACAAUACCCUCUUCUGCAACUGUUCCUUCUCCGGCAAUGUGUGCCAUGUCCAAACCAUUUAUCUUGUGGGUCAGGACCUGGAUGGUGUGCUUCCACCAUCACUGGUGAAGCUACCUUACCUUAAGGAACUUAAUUUGGGUCAGAAUUACCUUAGUGGCACGAUUCCACCAGAAUGGGGUUCUACCAAGUUGGAAUUUCUGGUUCUCAGUGUGAACAACUUAUCAGGACCUAUCCCUGCCUUUUUGGGGAACAUAACUACUCUCCGAUCUUUGGCCUUGGAAAGUAAUCAAUUUUCUGGAAAUAUUCCACCGGAGUUGGGAAGAUUGGUUAACAUGGAAGUCCUCUAUCUUCGAGCUAACAAUCUCAUUGGACAGUUGCCUGUGACUCUCACAAAUAUGACCAAAUUAAAUACACUUUGGAUUGGCAGUAACAACUUCACUGGAAAAAUACCGAACUAUUUUCUUAGUUGGAAAGAACUUCAGAUGUUAGAAAUGCAAGCAAGUGGCUUUGAAGGGCCAAUUCCCUCUAGUCUUUCUGCCUUAAGUAAUAUGACAUACCUAGUUAUCAGUGACAUGAACGGAGAGAGCUCAGUUUUUCCGAACUUGUCAAACAUGAAAAACAUGCAGAAAUUGAUGUUAAGGAGCUGCAAUAUAACAGGAUCAAUUCCAGAAUAUAUCUCUAACAUGACAAGCCUCCAAGUUUUAGAUCUUAGCUUCAACAGAUUGGAAGGGAGCAUCCCGAAUCUUGACAACUUAAUAAGAUUGGCCACAAUAUAUCUGACAAGUAACUGGCUUACUGGGCUUCCGGAGUGGAUCAAAAGUAGAGAUAGCCGUUACAUAAUAGAUCUUUCUUACAACAACUUUUCAAGGGACUCUGUCCCAACUACAUGUCGAGAAACCUUGUAAGAGUAACAGUAUUCAUUGCAUAUAAAUUGUGGUGGAAAACCAAUCACCAUUGGAAGCAUCAAGUAUGAGGGGGAUGAAGCUUCAGGAGGUGCAGCAAAGUUUUUUCAAGACACAGUUAAUUGGGGAUUUAGUAGCACUGGUGAUUAUGGGGUUAUGAAUGUUGACCAAGCCUACAUAGCAAACAAUAUUUCCAUACUCAAAAUGAACAACUCCGAAUUGUACAGAACUGCCCGUCUUUCUUUUCUUUCACUCACAUAUUAUGCCCGUUGCUUAGCGAAUGGAAAUUACACUGUGAAACUACACUUUGCAGAAAUAGUUCUCAGAGACAACAGGUCUUAUUAUGGUGUUGGAACACGAUUUUUUGAUGUCUAUAUCCAGGAAAAACUGGUAUUGAAGGAUUUUAAUAUUGAAAAGGAAGCACAAGGGGUUGAUAAGGAAGUAAUUAAAGUAUUUAAAGCAGUUGUCAAUGUUAGCACUUUAGAGAUUCGUUUUUAUUGGGCUGGGAAAGGGACAACUAAUUCCCCAAGGAGAGGGACAUUUGGUUCUCUCAUAUCAGCUAUCUCAGUUGAGUCUGAUUUCAAGCCGCCUGGUGAUAGCAACAGGAUAAUGUUCAUAGUGAUUGGAGUUGCUUUAGUCUUGUGCCUUAUCUUCAUGGUUUUUGGCAUUCUUUGGUUGAGAAGCUUCUUUGGAGGCAAGACCUCAAGGGAACAAGAGCUGAAAGGAUUAGAUCUGCAAACUGGUCUUUUUAGAUUCAAACAAAUCAAAGCUGCCACUAACAACUUUGAUGCUGCAAACAAGCUUGGGGAAGGUGGCUUUGGAAUUGUUUAUAAGGGGGAAUUAUCAGAUGGUACCACUAUUGCUGUCAAGCAGCUUUCAUCAAAAUCAAAACAAGGAAAUCGUGAGUUUGUGAAUGAAAUAGGGAUGAUUUCUGGUUUGCAACAUCCAAACCUUGUUAGAUUGUAUGGAUGUUGCAUCGAAGGAAAUCAGUUGUUGUUGGUAUAUGAAUAUAUGGAGAACAAUAGUCUUGCACAUUACUUGUUCGGUCCACAAGAAGGUAAACUGAAACUGGACUGGCAUAAAAGGCAAAAAAUAUGUAUUGGCAUUGCAAGAGGGUUAGCUUUCCUACAUGAGGAGUCAACGCUGAAAAUUGUUCAUAGAGACAUCAAAAUGACUAAUAUAUUGCUAGACAAGGACCUUAAUCCUAAAAUCUCAGACUUUGGUUUGGCCAAGCUGGACGAAGAGGAGAAGACGCAUAUUAGCACCAGAAUAGCUGGAACUAUAGGAUACAUGGCGCCAGAAUAUGCGCUAUGGGGUUACUUAACUGAUAAAGUAGAUGUUUACAGUUUUGGAGUUGUUGCCCUAGAGUUGGUAUCUGGCAAAAACAUCAAAUUUCGGUCCAAUGAGAAUUAUGUAUGCCUUCUAGAUUGGGCCCUUAUUUUGCAACAAAAAGAAAACCUGAUGGAGCUAGUGGAUCCGAAGUUGGGAUCCAAGUUCAACAAGGAACAGGCAAUGAGAAUGAUCAAAGUAGCUCUACUAUGCACCAACCCAUCUCCAGCAUUAAGACCUACAAUGUCUGCAGCACUAAGCAUGCUUGAAGGUCGAGCUGUUAUUCAUGAAUCAAGUAGAAACCUGAGUAUGUAUGGUGAUGAACUGGGAUCUAUGGCCUCAAGAGAUGACUCUAAUGAUCUGAAUAUUCAGCAUAGCCCAAGUGAGACUCGGAGCCUCAUAUACUUAUCAGAUGCCAAAGGACCAGAGGCCUCUUCCUCAAGGACCAUCCACGAUAACUAUACAUUUAAUCUUGAAUCCCCAUAG
RNA transcript from Fragaria vesca subsp. vesca, 2931 nucleotides. It is a transcript of the gene named probable leucine-rich repeat receptor-like serine/threonine-protein kinase At3g14840-like, with no coding region annotated. The record is from RefSeq and is a predicted model, not a curated record. The transcript has 22 exons. Lineage: Eukaryota; Viridiplantae; Streptophyta; Magnoliopsida; Rosales; Rosaceae.